UGGGGAAUAUUGGACAAUGGGCGAAAGCCUGAUCCAGCCAUGCCGCGUGUGUGAAGAAGGUCUUCGGAUUGUAAAGCACUUUAAGUUGGGAGGAAGGGCAUUAACCUAAUACGUUAGUGUUUUGACGUUACCGACAGAAUAAGCACCGGCUAACUCUGUGCCAGCAGCCGCGGUAAUACAGAGGGUGCAAGCGUUAAUCGGAAUUACUGGGCGUAAAGCGCGCGUAGGUGGUUUGUUAAGUUGGAUGUGAAAUCCCCGGGCUCAACCUGGGAACUGCAUUCAAAACUGACUGACUAGAGUAUGGUAGAGGGUGGUGGAAUUUCCUGUGUAGCGGUGAAAUGCGUAGAUAUAGGAAGGAACACCAGUGGCGAAGGCGACCACCUGGACUAAUACUGACACUGAGGUGCGAAAGCGUGGGGAGCAAACAGG
This 429-nucleotide ribosomal RNA is filed under the name uncultured Gammaproteobacteria bacterium. Its description in RNAcentral is "bacterial SSU rRNA". It matches the Rfam family "Bacterial small subunit ribosomal RNA", at positions 355 to 776 of the family's 1533-position model. The record is from RNAcentral. RNAcentral also lists the same sequence under 1 other name. Lineage: Bacteria; Pseudomonadati; Pseudomonadota; Gammaproteobacteria.